This is a long non-coding RNA of Passer domesticus (house sparrow), 476 nucleotides long. RefSeq lists it as uncharacterized. The transcript is spliced from 3 exons. NCBI's taxonomy places the organism in Eukaryota, Metazoa, Chordata, Aves, Passeriformes, Passeridae. The record is from RefSeq and is a predicted model, not a curated record.
UUGUAAGAGCACUAACACAUAUGUUCUCUUCCUACCUCACCUUGUUUCCCUCCCUGGAUGGUUGGAUAAAACAGUGCCAAGAAGAUUUUGAUAUGCAGAUUUAUCAGCAUAACUUGGAAACUGUUCAACUGAAAGUCUUGAGGUUUCUGUCACACAAGGGAGUAACCAUCAUGGUCAUGAGAAAGGACACGUCAGGUUGAACUUGGCUGAGAUCUGCGGUAACCACAAAAAUCUGUUAUCUCCAGAGUGAUCAGGAGCAAGGUGAAAGGAAAGCAGCCCAGAGCUUUGUGCUUGGAGAAGGCCAGGACAGACUGACAGUGAGACCACACAGUUUUCUUCCCUGCCUCCCUCCUUCCUUCCCCCGCGCCCCUCCUCCCUGGCAGAGCAGAUUGAUCCACUGUUAUCUGAUUAGAGAGGAAAGAAGGAGGAAAAACAAAAGCAAGACUAAAAAUAAAAAGAAGUGUAAUUUUAUUACA